RNAcentral lists this ribosomal RNA (460 nucleotides) under uncultured bacterium. RNAcentral's name for it is "partial 16S ribosomal RNA". It matches the Rfam family "Bacterial small subunit ribosomal RNA", at positions 338 to 795 of the family's 1533-position model. The record is from RNAcentral.
CCUACGGGUGACAGCAGUGAGGAAUAUUGGUCAAUGGACGAGAGUCUGAACCAGCCAAGUAGCGUGAAGGAUGACUGCCCUAUGGGUUGUAAACUUCUUUUAUAUGGGGAUAAAACGUUCCACGUGUGGGAUUUUGUAUGUACCAUAUGAAUAAGGAUCGGCUAACUCCGUUCCAGCAGCCGCGGUAAUACGGAGGAUCCGAGCGUUAUCCGGAUUUAGUGGGUUUAACGGGAGCGGAGGUGGAUUGUUAAGUCAGUUGUGAAAGUUUGCGGCUCAACCGUAAAAUUGAAGUUGAAACUGGCAGUCUUGAGUACAGUAGAGGUGGGCGGAAUUCGUGGUGUAGCGGGGAAAUGCUUAGAUAUCACGAAGAACUCCGAUUGCGAAGGCAGUUCACUGGACUGCAACUGACACUGAGGCUCGAAAGUGUGGGUAUCAAACAGGAUUAGAUACCCGUGUAGUC